RNAcentral lists this ribosomal RNA (84 nucleotides) under uncultured Symbiodinium. RNAcentral's name for it is "partial 5.8S ribosomal RNA". It matches the Rfam family "5.8S ribosomal RNA", at positions 70 to 151 of the family's 154-position model. From Rfam's summary of the family: 5.8S ribosomal RNA (5.8S rRNA) is a component of the large subunit of the eukaryotic ribosome. It is transcribed by RNA polymerase I as part of the 45S precursor that also contains 18S and 28S rRNA. The record is from RNAcentral. Lineage: Eukaryota; Dinophyceae; Suessiales; Symbiodiniaceae.
AAUUGCAGAACUCCGUGAACCAAUAGCACCCUGAACUCGCAUUGCACUCUUGGGACACGCCUGAGAGUAUGUCUGCUUCAGUGC